UUACCGAUUACGUUCCUUACGGUUCGUGAGAGGAGGUGAAACUAAUGAACCUUGCCCCAGAGCUCGUUUCUUACUAUUAUAGCGGACGUCAUAGCAGGAAUUAUCUUGUAUUUCGUCUGCAAAUGGCUAGAUGGUAAGAAGUAGACCGAGUGACUAGCCUAUCAACACCCGUUAAAUCUCUAAGAUACGUCAAAAAAAGCCCUUAACUAUGGCAGUAGUUAGGGGCUUUGGUGUUCUAAU
Molecule: small RNA, 240 nt
Filed under: uncultured Streptococcus sp.
Lineage: Bacteria; Bacillati; Bacillota; Bacilli; Lactobacillales; Streptococcaceae
Description: Streptococcus sRNA SpF66
Rfam family: Streptococcus sRNA SpF66
Source: RNAcentral